RNAcentral lists this ribosomal RNA (281 nucleotides) under uncultured bacterium. RNAcentral describes it as "partial 16S ribosomal RNA". It matches the Rfam family "Bacterial small subunit ribosomal RNA", at positions 235 to 507 of the family's 1533-position model. The record is from RNAcentral.
AUCAGAUUAGGUAGUUGGUGAGUAAAGGCUCACCAAGCCGACGAUCUGUAGCUGGUCUGANAGGACGACCAGCCACACUGGGACUGAGACACGGCCCAGACUCCUUACGGGAGGCAGCAGUGGGGAAUUUUUGGACAAUGGGCGCAAGCCUGAUCCAGCAAUGCCGCGUGCAGGAUGAAGGCCUUCGGGUUGUAAACUGCUUUUGUACGGAACGAAACGGUGAGCUCUAAUACAGUUUGCUAAUGACGGUACCGUAAGAAUAAGCACCGGCUAACUACGUG